CGUAAGGCGCCGAAUGAGUCAUUAAAAAAAUUAACAUCAUCCGAUCCCUAGUCGGCAUAGUUUAUGGUUAAGACUACGACGGUAUCUGAUCGUCUUCGAUCCCCUAACUUUCGUUCUUGAUUAAUGAAAACAUCCUUGGCAAAUGCUUUCGCAGUAGUUAGUCUUCAAUAAAUCCAAGAAUUUCACCUCUGACAAUUGAAUACUAAUGCCCCCAACUAUCCCUAUUAAUCAUUACGUCGAUCCUAGAAACCAACUAAAAUAGAAUCAAACGUCCUAUUUCAUUAUUCCAUGCUAAUGUAUUCAAGCGCGAGCUUGCUUUAAACNC
Molecule: ribosomal RNA, 325 nt
Filed under: uncultured Glomus
Lineage: Eukaryota; Fungi; Glomeromycota; Glomeromycetes; Glomerales; Glomeraceae
Description: partial 18S ribosomal RNA
Source: RNAcentral